This 467-nucleotide ribosomal RNA is filed under the name uncultured bacterium. Its description in RNAcentral is "partial 16S ribosomal RNA". It matches the Rfam family "Bacterial small subunit ribosomal RNA", at positions 28 to 506 of the family's 1533-position model. The record is from RNAcentral.
GACGAACGCUGGCGGCGUGCUUAACACAUGCAAGUCGAACGGAAAGGCCCUGCUUUUGUGGGGUGCUCGAGUGGCGAACGGGUGAGUAACACGUGAGUAACCUGCCCUUGACUUUGGGAUAACUUCAGGAAACUGGGGCUAAUACCGGAUAGGAGCUCCUGCUGCAUGGUGGGGGUUGGAAAGUUUCGGCGGUUGGGGAUGGACUCGCGGCUUAUCAGCUUGUUGGUGGGGUAGUGGCUUACCAAGGCUUUGACGGGUAGCCGGCCUGAGAGGGUGACCGGCCACAUGGGGACUGGGAUACGGCCCAGACUCCUACGGGAGGCAGCAGUGGGGAAUAUUGCACAAUGGGCGGAGGCCUGAUGCAGCAACGCCGCGUGCGGGAGGACGGCCUUCGGGUUGUAAACCGCUUUCGCCUGUGACGAAGCGUGAGUGACGGUAAUGGGUAAAGAAGCACCGGCUAACUACGG